CAAUAGCGUAUAUUAAAGUUGUUGCAGUUAAAAAGCUCGUAGUUGGAUUUCUGGUGGGAGCGAUCGGUCUGGCGCUUAGCGCGAGUACUUGCAUCGUCUCCGGCCAUCCUUGGGGAGAGUCUGUCUGGCAUUAGGUUGUCGGGCAGAGGAUCCUCAUCGUUUACUGUGAAAAAAUUAGAGUGUUCAAAGCAGGCUUAUGCCGUUGAAUAUAUUAGCCUGGAAUAAUAAGAUAGGACUUUGGUACUAUUUUGUUGGUUUGCGCACCAAAGUAAUGAUUAAUAGGGACAGUUGGGGGUAUUCGUAUUCCGUUGUCAGAGGUGAAAUUCUUGGAUUUACGGAAGACGAACUACUGCGAAAGCAUUUACCAAGGAUGUUUUCAUUAA
This 383-nucleotide ribosomal RNA is filed under the name uncultured eukaryote. RNAcentral describes it as "partial 18S ribosomal RNA". It matches the Rfam family "Eukaryotic small subunit ribosomal RNA", at positions 592 to 976 of the family's 1831-position model. The record is from RNAcentral.